Molecule: non-coding RNA, 72 nt
Organism: Pangasius djambal
Lineage: Eukaryota; Metazoa; Chordata; Actinopteri; Siluriformes; Pangasiidae
Source: the annotation of a GenBank genome assembly
UCCCUGGAGGACUAGUGGUUAGACUUCGGCGUUUUCACCGCCGUGCCCUGGGGUCGAUUCCCGGCCAGGGAG